AAACAUGCACGAAAUAGUGAGUGGUUAGUUGCGAGAAGAGUUAUAAUUGUUUUUCUUUUAAGGUUGACAACUGGUGACGAACAAUGGUUAUCCACCCCUUUCAGGUCUGGAACAGGCUAAUUGGAAAGUGUACCACCAUCACGCCUUUCUUCAUGGAGACCUCCACCAAGUUUUCGAGCUCAGGGGGAGGAAGGGAAAGUUUUCAGGUGAAAAAAGGCGAUAUAUGGUCUCAAGCAAUCUCCUCAGGCUUGGUUCGAGAUAUGAAGUUUGGUUAUGACGAAGAUUAAUGGGUCUCUACAAUAAUGAUGAAUAUGUCCAUUGAGUUAUAUUAUAUAACAUUUUUCAUAAGGUUAUUUGGCCAAUGGUCAACAAAAUCUUUAUUGAUUAAUCAUAUAUCAACGGAAGUGGCCCUCUAUCACAGUGGUGGAGAUGAGUGUUGCCCUUGCAUCACGGUGUGGGUUUGAACCUCGUCGGCUCCCUAAUUUAACAAAUCUAUCGUUUGACAAAAAAAAAUCAUAUAUCUACGGUCAUUUUUAUUAUUGGAACAAUCAAUGAAAUAUAUUAUACAUUUCUCUCUCCUCACUUUAUUCAUUCCUUCUCUCACGUAAAACCCUAGCUCCCAACUUGAUUAUGAAUCUCAAAGCUUUUUUGUCUCAAACUUUCCAGAUGUCUGGGACUUUCCAUCUUCUAUCAAUUUGAUCCAAUCCCAUCGAAAUUAAGGUUUCCCGAUAGCCAAAACUCAGAAUGUUGUCGUUCUGGUUGAGCACGGCCUUAAAGGUAAUGGAUGCUUACUCUCCCGCAGAACUAGUCACAUGCAUAUAGUCUAGUCUGGCCAAAAAAUUUGAUCUGAUUCGAUGCUUUAGUAGCAUUGCGGGCAUAGAAACCUCAUCUUCAUAGACAAACAGAUUGUCGAUUCCCACCUGAGUAUUUCAGUUAAAGGUAACUGUUUAUGAGAAAGUGAAGAGAAAAUAAAAUCUUACCCCUGAGAAAUGUGCCACCGGAAUAGGCUCUGCAUUUUUUUUAACUAAGAGAGAAAAUACACAACAGUUGAGCAAUGUUCUAAAUUUUAAUUUACAUAUGGCAAGAAUUUAAGAAAACUAAAAUACAUUGACCAUUUCAUCACCUUGAUCUACAAUUCAAGAAUCAUAGUAAGGAGGGAAUACUAAUAAAAACCUUUCAUUCUAUAAGAGUAAAAGUUGGCCCUAAAGGAAAGAUUACUAGUCUCUAUCUCUUGUUUUAUUUUUUUAUUUUUUUGGUGAACUAGAAAAUAUCAUUCACUAGGGCCGCGGCCAAAAGGUAAUAGAAAACCAGGGUGGCUAACAACAGUAAACAAGAAGUACAAACAAGGGACAAAAAACAAGACAUAGAACAUCACCAUGUCACCCUUAAUCCUACCCAAACAUAAUCUAAAUGAAGAUGGAGGUCUUCUGACCUAGACAAAAUCAUACAUCUUCGCACCAGCAUGCGACGCAACAAAAUUCGUUGCUUCAUUGGCUGCCUGUGGCACCCAAGACCAGGUGCACGAAUAGAACGCCAUCCCCAUCUCGCAUAGAACCAGAAAAACAUGAGCCCGCUCGAUACAACCGUUCAACCAUGUAAUAAUCGCCUUAGAAUCUAAUUCAACCACAAUACAAGAAUAACCCCGCUGCCGAGCCAUUAAGCAUUCUUCCAAAACUCCCCGAGCCUCUGCCAUAAGGGCAGAAGAGGCACGGGUCCUUCUUCUCCUCACUGUUAAGCAACAAGACCCAGAAUCCCUCAUAACAAUCCCAAUAUGGCAGCCCUCAUCAAUCAUCUUCCAACAAGCGUCCACAUUCACCUUGAUGUCUCGCAAAGCCCGCUCCCUCGAAUGAGCCUCCAGGAAAGCAAAGCUAGAAUUCUCAAUGGCCCGCACAGUACGGGUUGGGGAUGGGAUUCUCUAAUUAAAAACUCCAUCACACCUAACUUUUCAUAUUGACCAGCAUGAGAAUGCAAUAUACGACAUUGUUUUCCUCCACUCCACCACACCUUCAGGCAAACUACACCAAAUAGAUUC
Molecule: long non-coding RNA, 2032 nt
Filed under: Malus domestica (apple)
Lineage: Eukaryota; Viridiplantae; Streptophyta; Magnoliopsida; Rosales; Rosaceae
Description: long non-coding RNA (MDOM_LNC006611)
Source: RNAcentral